RNAcentral lists this ribosomal RNA (468 nucleotides) under uncultured bacterium. Its description in RNAcentral is "partial 16S ribosomal RNA". It matches the Rfam family "Bacterial small subunit ribosomal RNA", at positions 28 to 507 of the family's 1533-position model. The record is from RNAcentral.
GACGAACGCUGGCGGCGUGCUUAACACAUGCAAGUCGAACGGAAAGGCCCUGCUUUUGUGGGGUGCUCGCGUGGCGAACGGGUGAGUAACACGUGAGUAACCUGCCCUGGACUUUGGGAUAACUUCAGGAAACUGCGGCUAAUACCGGCUAGGAGCUCCUGCUGCAGGGGGGGGGUUGGAACGUUUCGGCGGUUGGGGAUGGACUCGCGGCUUAUCAGCUUGUUGGUGGGGUAGUGGCUUACCAAGGGUUUGACGGGUAGCCGGCCUGAGAGGGUGACCGGGCUCAUUGGGACUGCGGUACGGACCAGACUGCUACGGGAGGCAGCAGUGGGGAAUAUUGCACAAUGGGCGGAAGUCUGAUGCGGCAACGCCGGGUGCGGGAUGACGGCCUUCGGGUUGUAAACCGCUUUCGCCUGUGACGAAGCGGGAGUGACGGUAAUGGGUAAAGAAGCACCGGCUAACUACGUG